GUGAGUGUAGCUCAAAUGGUAAGAGCAUCAGGCUGUGGCCCUGAGGGUUGGGGGUUCGAGUCCCCUCACUCACCCA
Molecule: transfer RNA, 76 nt
Filed under: Deltaproteobacteria bacterium
Lineage: Bacteria; Pseudomonadati; Myxococcota; Myxococcia
Description: tRNA-His
Rfam family: tRNA
About the family: Transfer RNA (tRNA) molecules are approximately 80 nucleotides in length. Their secondary structure includes four short double-helical elements and three loops (D, anti-codon, and T loops).
Source: RNAcentral